UCCAUUGCCACCUACCCCUCUGAGACUGCGGGGCCCGGGGCCAGGGGACCAGGACCGACUGCAGAUGGACUCCCCAUCCCCAGAGUUCCUUCUCCGCCCCUGGAGCCACACAUGCACAGUCUCCACUCCCGAGGCGAAACUGGCGUCCUUCUACGCUCUGGUUAAGGGGAAAAUCUGCUUUUGUUGAGGAACCGCCCCUCUGAAUUGAUGAACAUGUCCUGGUGGAAUCAGUGGGCUGUAUUGCCAUUCCACAGGGAAGAUAAGAACUGAGGCCGCGUCCUGCGUGUGAUGAUGAAGCCAUCAGCGCGUUGCUGCUUGUUGAUGGAGGAGUUUAUGUUAGCCUGCCAGCCUUUGCGAUGGCUCCAGUCAGCACAGCUCCUGCUUUGCCAGCCGAGGGCACCCAGCCUCCACUCCCAGUGAUCCCAGUUUGUUCGGCCAUCUUGAAAAGCUGGAUGUCAAACCACAGCAAUGACAUUGUGACAACUGGGUUCACUAGGCCUGUGAUGCUGUGCCGUGAGCUCCCAGAGACUGAGAUGGCAUGCACGGGGCGUGCAAGGGUCUGCACCAGACUGAAAGAAGCAGCAGACACAAGCCCCCACCCCCAGCUGGUACCCACUGGCAAAUGAAAACUCAGCUUUCUCCAAGCAUCUUUUCUUGUGCUCUCUUCUUUGUUUGUUUUACCCUAUUCUGAUGUGUUGGUUUUUGUUUUAUAUAUUAUAUCAAUUGUCUUGUUACCCCUUAAAA
Molecule: long non-coding RNA, 744 nt
Organism: Mesocricetus auratus (golden hamster)
Lineage: Eukaryota; Metazoa; Chordata; Mammalia; Rodentia; Cricetidae
Exons: 2
Source: RefSeq, a predicted model, not a curated record